CGGACGGGUGAGUAACGCGUGGAUAACCUGCCUCACACUGGGGGAUAACAGUUAGAAAUGGCUGCUAAUACCGCAUAAGCGCACAGUACCGUAUGGUACGGUGUGAAAAACCCAGGUGGUGUGAGAUGGAUCCGCGUCUGAUUAGCCAGUUGGCGGGGUAACGGCCCACCAAAGCGACGAUCAGUAGCCGACCUGAGAGGGUGACCGGCCACAUUGGGACUGAGACACGGCCCAA
This 235-nucleotide ribosomal RNA is filed under the name uncultured bacterium. RNAcentral describes it as "partial 16S ribosomal RNA". It matches the Rfam family "Bacterial small subunit ribosomal RNA", at positions 99 to 334 of the family's 1533-position model. The record is from RNAcentral.